GACGAACGCUGGCGGCGCGCCUAACACAUGCAAGUCGAACGAGCGAGAGAGAGCUUGCUUUCUCGAGCGAGUGGCGAACGGGUGAGUAACGCGUGAGGAACCUGCCUCAAAGAGGGGGAUAACACCUGGAAACAGAUGCUAAUACCGGAUAACAACACUAGACGCAUGUCUAGAGUUUGAAAGAUGGUUCUGCUAUCACUCUUGGAUGGACCUGCGGUGCAUUAGGCUAGUUGGUAAGGUAACGGCUUACCAAGGCAAUGAUGCAUAGCCGAGUUGAGAGACUGAUCGGCCACAUUGGGACUGAGACACGGCCAA
RNAcentral lists this ribosomal RNA (315 nucleotides) under uncultured bacterium. RNAcentral describes it as "bacterial SSU rRNA". It matches the Rfam family "Bacterial small subunit ribosomal RNA", at positions 28 to 333 of the family's 1533-position model. The record is from RNAcentral.